This is an RNA transcript of Oncorhynchus keta (chum salmon), 3631 nucleotides long. It is a transcript of the gene named methyl-CpG-binding domain protein 3-like, with no coding region annotated. The record is from RefSeq and is a predicted model, not a curated record. Lineage: Eukaryota; Metazoa; Chordata; Actinopteri; Salmoniformes; Salmonidae. The transcript has 8 exons.
AUUUUGUCAUCGAUGAAAGGUUCUCGUGUGGGAGGCGUUUCGGUGGUCUCGAGUGUAUCCGCAAACCAUUGAACUGUAGGUAGUGUUCAGGGAUUCCAAAUUUAGUUACACACUUAUUGGUGUUGCAGUUUAACUUUUCUUAAUAGCAAUCCAUUUUUUUCUAAAUAUGACGAGUAAUUAGUUUGGUAAGGAAUUCGUGAGAUGACUAAUUACUACUCUAGCUCUAAAUAGAUAAUUGUUUUAUACCGAAUAUUUCAAACAAGUAUUGUAAUGCAUGUAGCAAUCUCAACCUAUGAAUCUCCUGCCUACUUUGUCCAUUCAUAAAAAAAAGCAUUAUGUAAACGACUGAAUGACAAGUGAGUUUUGUCGUGGUCAAAAUGACUCACCGCGUUCUCGAAUUUUACCUAUGUGAAACUUUUUGCCUGAAUAAUCUCCUUUGUUGAUGUUGUGAAAUCAUAUUGGAAAUCUAUCCAUAUUUUGGGGAUAGGCUAUAUUAUAAUGCUCUAUUAUAAUGCUCUACUUUUGGAGCGUUCGCGUAGGCUACCGCGCUCGUCAAAUCAAUGAUUUAUCGGUUCAGGAUUCAAUAAUGCAAUGUUGGCGACGGUCCAAUGUAUUGCGGAUGUAGCCCUCAUUGCCCUCUCGAGGCAGGCAGUGAUGUGGCUAAAGGUUACGGCGGAGUGAUAUGCUGUAGUCUUCGACAAAGAGCUGCGAUAAAUCGGGAGGGAGAUCCCAUGAAUAGUACUUGAGCCCUAUGUCACUAAUGGACGGAGUCAUUGUAUAAAACACGAAAUGUAACCCCAAAUAUAAACACGCUAGCAAAGAGAAUCACUGAACACUUCACAGGAGAACAUGGAGAAGAAAAGGUGGGCAUGCUUGGCUCUCCCCAAGGGCUGGCAGAUCGAAGAAGUGACCAGAAAGUCCGGUUUGUCUGCGGGAAAAAGAGAUGUAUAUUAUUUUAGUCCAACCGGGAAGAAGUUUCGGAGCAAGCCUCAGCUGGCUCGUUACCUUGGCAACCAGAUGGACCUCAGCUCCUUUGACUUCCGCACAGGGAAGAUGCUCAUGAGUAAACUGAACAAGAACAGGCAGAGACUGCGCUAUGACAACAGCAAUCAGACCAAGGGCAAGCCAGACCUGAACACAUCACUCCCCGUCAGACAGACUGCUUCCAUCUUUAAGCAACCUGUCACCAAGGUUACCAACCACCCCAGCAACAAAGUCAAGACAGAUCCACAGAAAGCCGUCGACCAGCCGAGACAGCUUUUCUGGGAGAAGAAGCUUGGUGGUCUCGAUGCCUUUGACAUCGCAGAGGAGCUAGUGAAGACAAUGGACCUGCCUAAAGGUCUUCAAGGAGUUGGACCUGGAUGUACAGACAAGACUCUACUGUCAGCGAUAGCCAGCGCCCUGCACACUAGUGCAGCCCCCAUCACCGGUCAGCUGUCUGCAGCCGUGGAGAAGAACCCAGGGGUGUGGCUCAACACAUCGCAGCCCCUGUGCAAGGCCUUCAUUGUCACUGACGAGGACAUCAGGAAGCAGGAGGAGCUGGUGUACAGUGUGAGGAAGAAGCUGGAGGAGGCUCUAAUGGCGGACAUGUUGGCUCAUGUGGAGGAAGCAGCCAGCGAGGGCGACUCACUCGAGGAGGACAACGACGACAUGGAGACUGUAUAGCAGAGUGUGUGUGUGUCUAUCGCUUCCAGUAUUCUCAUUUUGAUACCUACUCACCUGGAACAGACACUAUUUGGUUUAAAGGACCUUUAAGGGUGAUGGGGAGUUAGAGUAGUUUGGAUGGGUCUUUCAACACCUUAUCACAGGACCAUGAAACCUGUACCAAUCCAACCUAAAGAACUGCCCACUUUCCACCUACUACCCCUCUGAAGCUUUACCUACCCACUGCCCACCUCGCCCGCUGGUUGGGCUCUUCUGGCUCCAGUGCUAAGAAAGGACUUGGACCAAGCCAUUCUGAAUCAAAUAAUUGAGCUAAUAAUCUUUCAUUUGAAAAAGAGAUCAUCCAAUAACUUUUUGACAGUGCAGAGUGAGAGGAGAGCGAUUUACAUACAGUAUGACAAAUUCAGUGUUCAAUGAUGUAGUUUUAUUUUUUACAAGACAUUGUAGGGAUUUUCUGAAUGUGAGAUGUAUGUUGUGACAAUCAUAUCACCCCCCACAUACACACACACACAAAACAAACAUACAAAAACUACUUUUUACAUGUAUUUGGAGUUUUUCAAUUAGUAGCGAAUGCUGUUUUUAUCUCUGGGUUUCUAAUGCACUCCAUGGGGCUCGAUGGACCAUAGUGUAGGGGUACUUUGGUUCAGUUUACAGGGCUAUGUGAGAGAGGCUUUGAUGAGAGGGAACAAUAUAUUUGCCCAAAUGAUGCACUCUAAAGCAUGAGUCACAGGACAGAGAAUUAGUGAAAAAUGAUUGAAUUGUGUUCUCAAGGGAAUAUUCUUGUCAUUGUAAUGUAGUCCAUUUCAAACCCCUUACCAAGUAUUGACCAAAGAUGGUUCAUGUGAUUUUUGGAAAGUCUUGCAGUAUUCUACUGUAGUUAUUUUGUUAUAGCAUCAUAUCCAGCUUCUCAAUAGCUAGUGAUGUUUCCACAUGACACUGAGUUAUGAGUGAAGUCAUACUAUACAUGGUUAAAAUGGGUACUAGAAGUGACUUGGACUCUUCUCUCCUUGUGUCGAUUUGAUUCAUUUUAACACUCAUUGCUCACUGAAGUUGUUGGUUUAACGUUGCUGUUUCUAGCCAAUGCAUGUUUGUCCCCAUGGCUAUGCUUUUUAAAAUGUUUCCAAUAAUGGGUCAAAGCCAUCACAACACUUGCUGCCUCCAUUAUCUUGUGCACUGGGUGCCAGGCAGAGUAAACUAAGCAGAUUUCGUUUGACUAAAGAUUAAGGGCUGGACUCAAUCUGUAUCGUGGAAGAUCGGUGUUAAAUUUAAAGGUUAUUUUUUUGACAUUCCGUUGACAAAUGCAGCGUUUAAUGUGAAUGCAGUCUUUGAAAUGCCUUUUCAGGGUGGCAGUUAGCCUCGUGGUUAGAGGGGGUGGCAGUUAGCCUCGUGGUUAGAGGGGGUGGCAGUUAGCCUCGUGGUUAGAGGGGGUGGCAGGUAGCCUCGUGGUUAGAGGGGGUGGCAGGUAGCCUCGUGGUUAGAGGGGGUGGCAGGUAGCCUCGUGGUUAGAGGGGGUGGCAGGUAGCCUCGUGGUUAGAGGGGGUGGCAGGUAGCCUCGUGGUUAGAGCGUUGGGCCAUUAACAGAAAGGUUGCUGGAUCGAAUCCCCGAGCUGACAUGGUAAAAAUCUGUCGUUCUGCCCCUGGACAAGGCAGUGAGCCCACCUACCCCCAGUCGGCCUUCAUUGUAAAUUAAGAAUUUGUUAUUAACUGACUUGCCUAGUUAAAUAAAGAUUUGAUUUGUUUGAAAUUUGUAAGAACAAAAAAAUUGAGUUAGUGUGGAUUUUCCACGAUGUAGAUUAAAUCCAGCCCAAAGAUUCUGUUUUGAGAAAAUUAAUUGCGCUUUGUACAUAUACCCACAUUUCUCAACGUUUGUAUGUUUCAAUUGUCAAGCUCAAUUAGAUCCCUAUCCAACAUCAGCAGGCUGAACUGAAUUUUAUGUUACUGAGUAAAAUGUAUCGGUAUAUCAACAGAA